This 468-nucleotide ribosomal RNA is filed under the name Selenomonas sp. oral taxon 140. RNAcentral's name for it is "bacterial SSU rRNA". It matches the Rfam family "Bacterial small subunit ribosomal RNA", at positions 28 to 475 of the family's 1533-position model. Lineage: Bacteria; Bacillati; Bacillota; Negativicutes; Selenomonadales; Selenomonadaceae. The record is from RNAcentral.
GACGAACGCUGGCGGCGUGCUUAACACAUGCAAGUCGAACGGAGCGAAUGAAAGCUUGCUUUUAUAAGCUUAGUGGCAAACGGGUGAGUAACACGUAGGCAACCUGCCGACAGGAUGGGGACAACAUUCCGAAAGGAAUGCUAAUACCGAAUGAAGUCAGAGAAGGGCAUCCUUUUCUGAUGAAAGAUGGCCUCUGAAUAUGCUAUCACCUGUCGAUGGGCCUGCGUCUGAUUAGCUGGUAGGUGAGGUAACGGCUCACCUAGGCGACGAUCAGUAGCCGGUCUGAGAGGAUGAACGGCCACAUUGGGACUGAGACACGGCCCAGGCUCCUACGGGAGGCAGCAGUGGGGAAUCUUCCGCAAUGGGCGCAAGCCUGACGGAGCAACGCCGCGUGAGUGAAGAAGGUCUUCGGAUCGUAAAGCUCUGUUGAUGGGGACGAACGUGCCUAAUGCGAAUAGUUUUAGGCAA